Molecule: ribosomal RNA, 427 nt
Filed under: uncultured bacterium
Lineage: Bacteria
Description: bacterial SSU rRNA
Rfam family: Bacterial small subunit ribosomal RNA
Source: RNAcentral
GAUGAACGCUAGCGGCAGGCUUAACACAUGCAAGUCGAGGGGUAUUGGUUUUCGGACCAAGAGACCGGCGCACGGGUGCGUAACGCGUAUGCAAUCUACCUUUCACAGAGGGAUAGCCCAGAGAAAUUUGGAUUAAUACCUCAUAGUAUAGCAGUUUCGCAUGAAACCACUAUUAAAGUCACAACGGUGAAAGAUGAGCAUGCGUCCCAUUAGCUAGUUGGUAAGGUAACGGCUUACCAAGGCAACGAUGGGUAGGGGUCCUGAGAGGGAGAUCCCCCANACUGGUACUGAGACACGGACCAGACUCCUACGGGAGGCAGCAGUGAGGAAUAUUGGUCAAUGGACGCAAGUCUGAACCAGCCAUGCCGCGUGCAGGAUGACGGUCCUAUGGAUUGUAAACUGCUUUUANACAGGAAGAAACCCUCCC